UCCGUGUCUUUAGGGGCUCGGUGCGUCUUUGGGCUACAGUCCAGUUACUACGGUAGCAGAAUGUGUCGACGGUGUUCUUGUGUUUGGCUGUUGAGCUACAUGGCUCAGAGCAGUUACCCCAUUCUGAGGGUAACAGUUGUUUUCCUCUGAUUGUUGUUGUCAUUUAACCUGGUCAUAGAAAUUCAGAAAAAGGAGAAAUUCAGCUUUGUUCUCCUCCCUUCAGCUUGAGACAAAGAUGAGGAGGUAACAAGUGGGGGCUGUUUCCUUCCUUCCUUUGGCACGGUUGUCCCUGGUUAGUUCAGGAGAGUCCAGCUGAUCACUGAUCAUCACAGCUCCUCCAUCGGGCACUCGUUUAUUGUUCUGCCUUUUUUAUUUUCUGGUGUAAUCCUGGGCGAUGAUCUACUUCCCUGGUGCGGCCAGGCGUUUCAUGACUUGAAUUAGUCACUGAAGUUUGCCUUUAAAGUCGCCUCAAGCCCGGCACGCUCCAAGAAGACUAGCGGCAGGAUUUAGUUUCUGGCUGGGCAGGAUCUGUGGAAACUGCUGUGAACAAAGAAAGACAUUUUUUCUGGGUAUUUCUGGUUUAGGUUGAGCAUAUUUGUUAAGUGUGUGGGUUUAGGCUGGUACGACACAACAGAAAGGUGUGGAGUUAAUGAAGAUCGACUGACCCUCCUCCUCUGUCCCCCGCUUUGGUCUGCACUCACAUUACCCCAAAGGCUAGUGAGCUGAAGCUCGGUUACCUCCGACACCGUGUCAGUGACUACUGUUUAUACGCAGUUAAAGCAGCAUGAUCAAGAGCUGAGUCGAGGUGAGACAAAUAGGUUCUGGCAUCUCGCAGAAAUAACUCCGCUGUCUCAGAAGUUCGCUCCCCAAACUUUGAACUUGUGCAGCCGCCGUCAGCACUGCCAGGAGUCAGGCCAAUCCUGCUGAUAGCUCAAGCAUCGCAAAGCCACAAAUGGAAGCCAGAAAGUGAAGCACAGCGGAGAACGUCUGAGACAAUGAGUGCAGACGGAGCUGACGUUUGAUGGAACGAUCCUCAGCAGAACUGAACCCUUAUCUACACCAUGGCUACAACUGUGACAAGAUGGUGGAGGUCAUGGAGGGAGCCACCACCACCACCACCACCACCAGCAGCAGCAGCUGCUCCCGGGGGAAAUUUAAUCACGUACAGUACCAGCUUAGAAAUUAAGCUAUGUCCUGUUUUUAUAAACUGGUGGGAAUUUGUUUAAUCAGGAAUGACACUGGGUUUUAAUCAAUUUUGGUGAAACUCCUUCAUUGCUUAUGCUUUUUAACUGAUUUUAACUGAUAAACACGUGUAGUGACGGUGUAUUAGAGCAAUGACAAAUGAAUGUGGGGUGGAAUUAUUGGAUAAAAGUCAAAAUAACCUUUAUUGAUACAGUCCGUUAAAAUGAUCAUUAUUCAAACAUACUUGAUUUUUUUUCAAAAGUUAAAAGGUGUAACACUCAGUCCAGGAGCCUACAGUUGGGCCACUUUCUUGUUCUGUCACAGUUGUUUUAAAUGUCACAUCCUGGCUCUGACCACUCAAAUGUGCACGUUCCUGCAAAUUCAGUUACAUUUUAAUAGUAGAUAAUUAAACUCCGUUACAUGAUUCAGUGUCUCCUACCCAGCCAAAAGGCAUUCAUUGCUUUUUGGCUCAGCUACAGAGAUGCUAAUCUUCCCUAUCGUCUGUAUAGUUCCCAGUUCCAACAUGGGCUGCAGUGAGCCGUUCCAUUGGGUCUGGCCCUGGAACAACAUUAUCAACAACAACAAAAAAUGGCUGAGAAAUCAGUGACCUAAAUCUGAUACCCUACCACAUACAUCUACCUGCCAUCAUUUUCCUUUCUGUUCCAUUCACGAAAUCUUUUGUGUCAUAAUUAGGAUUAGAUAUCUAUUUCAAUUUAUCGCAAUUAAUCGUGAUUAAUUACAAUCGUGAUUAAUCCACAGCAGCCCACUGAAUCCGAUUUCAAUAAUUUAUCUGCCUGUUUAUACAAAUGUUAAUUCCAUCUGUUCCCACCAGAUCUGCCUGUCUCUGCGAGACUGGUUGGGAGAAAAAAACAAACAAUCUAGCUGUCUCUGUUGUCUUGCAGAAAGCACACAAGGUGAUUUCAAUUUGAUUCUUCAUGAAUAACAAAACAUUAACUUAACACGACACAACACAGACACGGCGUGCAGACUCAACUUAGCCCUGCAUGCGAAACACUUUCGACGUGUUUUACUGCCAAGAUGUCCUCCUGUAUAUUUGUCUUUAAAAGCCAGUUCUGGAAUAAUACUCUGGGUAAUGAUCUGGGUCCUAUUAUUAAUGCUAACACUAUAAUUUUAUUCAGCUGUACCUUUUUUUCAAGCUGUAGUCGUUGCUCUGCUGCUCGUCUGUGUGAUGUGUGUGGCUACUUAACUUACGUAUUUUUUACUUUUCUUUUUUCUUUUUUCUUUUUUUGCUUGUUUAUAUUCUUUCUUUAGCGGGCACCACGCUCAUAUUUAUUGACAAUUUCAUGCUUUAUUUCUAUGGUAAUCUUGCAUUUCUUCUUCGUACCACCAUCCUUACCACUCACUCUCUUAGGACUCAUCACUAUUAUGAAGAAUAAUGCACAAAAUAGAGAGGAAAUCACGUAGAUAAUGCAAACACAAUACGGAAGACUCGGGAGAUGCGUACGAAAGUCGACUGCAAUUCUCGACCACCUAGCGUCUGUAAUCGUGCUCGUAUCUCGAGUAUUUACUCGUAUCUCAAAGCAAAAAUUUGCUCGAAGGCUUGUUCGUAUCUCGGAAGACUCGUAUGUCGAGACUCUCGUAUCUCGAGGUUCCACUGUACAUACAUUUUGGUAUAAAUUAACAAUCUCACAAGUGAAGAUCAGACACGUCAUGAAGGUAGAUAACAUUGAACCUGCAGCUAUAACCUGACCACAACCAAACAUAUUUCCUUUUCUUAUACUUCUUAUACUUCUGUUUGUCAGCAAAGGCUUUCAUUACAAAUAACCUUUUUAUCUCGGCCGAGUCUCAUGUUGAAAUAACAUCACCAAAUUCACCCGCUCACUGCGAGAGCCGCUGAUUUGAGAAAGGAGCUCCAAGAUAGAAGCAGCAGUUUGUCUGCUCACCCAAGUGCACAGCAGCAGAUGAUUGUUGACAGCGUGCAGGUAACAACAGCCAGCUGCCACCAGCUUCACAGCAUAGGCAGAUAUGGGAAUUUGAAAAGAUCUUGUUUAUUCAUUGCAGGGUUUUUCAAAACAGUAGUAAAACCUGUUUUGAUGUACGGUUUGGAAACAGUGGCAGUAAAUAAAACUCUCAGACAGAGGAGCCAGACUGGAGGAUGCUGACAGGGAGGAGGAAAGGAAAGGCUUUCACAGAUGUAGCUAGGAAGGACACAAAGGCUUUUGUAGCAAACGUCUCUCAUGUAAUGAUUUUUGCAGCAAACUAUUCAGUCUGUGUUGAUGUUUUCAGCAGCCACUGCUGCUCGUAUUAAGAUUCAAAUUACAAUGCGAUUCUUAUUUUCUGUUAAUCACCAGAUGAAAUCCUGACUGAUUUAGAAAUGUGAUUAAUGGGAAUGACAAAGAGCAUGAAUCACUUCUUGUUUUGAAUCAUUUUGUUGGUCAAGAAUUACAUUUUCAAAGAGAUUACAGACAAAUACUCUAUUACUGUGGAUUCCCCUCUGUUUCAUGUCAGAAUGAUGAAAGUUAAAAUAAUGAAAUGUAUGAAAGAAUUCAAUCUUAACAGUUACACUUCUUUUGACAUGUCCAAAUGAGUGAUUUUAAGCGUGUUAUCUAAUCAGUGAAUUGGAUUUCCCCUCUAAUCUAGAAACCAUAAGAAAGUAAUUUAAUUCUGGGAAUCAGGAGAGAAAACUCAUAAAAUCUAAACGUCUCCAUGACCGUGGAGGUCUCAUUAUCUGGAACCACUUGCUCCUGGUUGUGUUUCCCUUGCCCAGCUGGACAGGAGCUGAUUGGUCAGAAAAGGACAGAUAUUAGAUGGCAGGUCCUGUCCCUUAAGCAUGACCUGAAGGCUGUGACCAAGCCUGGACCGGUGCUGCUUGGCCAGGUUCAUUCUGUAUAUGUGCACAACGAUAGCUUUUUCUUUCUGGAAGCUCUUUCACCACCAAAGAGAACGAUGUCAAUGAGCCACGUAUUUUGGGAAAUCAUGCAGUAAAUUGAGAAUAUGAGCUUACCUCCGUGAGCACGGCUGGCUCAGCUACCGAGCUCCACAGCCAGGGCUGAGGUUUUCCAUCCAGGUCUAGAUGGGAAAAGAUCAGCCAGGUUUGAAGUUUCUCCCCCUGAGUUCUUUCCUCUGAGGAAAACAAUCAACCCCUUAUUUUGGACCUCCUAUUAUCAGAAAGUUUGAUUUUACGUCAUCCAACCAGCAGAGGUGGAAAAAGUACUACAAAGAUGUAAUUAAGUAAAAUUAUCUUUACUUUCUUUAAAUUCUACUCAAGUAAAAGUACCAUCUAAAAAAUGUACUUGAGUAAAAGUAACUAAUUACUUUACCUUGUUAUUUACUUAGUGAUUUACUUACUUAAAUCUUUCACUAAGAUUAGAGACCAACUGCAAUUAAAGUCGUGCUUUGCUCUGGUACUGCUACACUUCACUGAAACAUCAGCUAUCGGGGUGGAUGCUAAGCUAAGCGAAAAUAAUUGAUAUGGCAGAGAUGAUGAUCCUAAAGCGGUUUUGAAAACAGAAAGUUGUUAAUUGUGACAAUUCACAAAAGGCAUCUUCAUAAUUAUGAGAAGAACAAAGCCUCUCAACAGAGAUAACUAUAAUAAUAAUGUAUCAUUUUGACGACUGCUUUUCUCUGUUCCACCGUUGUGUUCCUGCGAAAAGAAAUAAACAUUUAUCUAAUGAUAACGAUGACAAGAGCAGAUGAAAAUUUGGAGUUGAGCUUGUCACAUUAACUCUGAGUCUGUCCUUUAUUAGAAUGACAACUCUUUAGACAUUCAACGGGAAUUAACACUUCUUUCACGUUUCUGCUCUUUCCUUGGGCUGAUCAAGCAGUAUGUUCACCGCUGACAGGAGACUGAUUUGAACUAAAUCAGUUCAUUUUUUUAUAAUUUUUAAGUUUAAUGAUUCUCAUGAAAAACAUUAUAUUUUCCUUCUUUUACCACGGCAGCAUUCUCCUCCUACCGAAAUCUGUAAAAGUAACAGGGUACGUUUCGCCACCAGGGGACGUACUCAUUACCUGUGAUUGGCUUACACUGACAUUUGAUCAUCUACUUAUUUGAAUUGUCAUAAUCACUUCAUAACAUGAGUGGUAACUUUAGUCUGCACGGAAGGAGCAUUUACAUAAAACGAACCAAGCUACCCAUCACUGGUAACAGGUGCUCAGAAGAAAAAUCGUAAGUGGCUACAUGAUCAGUGGCUCCCCCUACAGUCUGUCCUGGAGGAUAAAAUUGUUGCAAAGCAAAGAAAAAAGUGACAUGAGUUG
Molecule: long non-coding RNA, 5397 nt
Organism: Cynoglossus semilaevis (tongue sole)
Lineage: Eukaryota; Metazoa; Chordata; Actinopteri; Pleuronectiformes; Cynoglossidae
Exons: 5
Source: RefSeq, a predicted model, not a curated record